Long non-coding RNA from Micropterus salmoides (largemouth bass), 981 nucleotides. RefSeq lists it as uncharacterized. NCBI's taxonomy places the organism in Eukaryota, Metazoa, Chordata, Actinopteri, Centrarchiformes, Centrarchidae. The record is from RefSeq and is a predicted model, not a curated record. The transcript is spliced from 2 exons.
AGGGUUAGAGGAAGUUAGAGGAAGAGGACAAGGAGGAGCAAGAAGAGGACGAGGAGGGGAAAGAGGAAGGGUAAGAAGAGUAAGAAAUAGAAUAACUGAUGACAUCAGAGCUACAAUAGUGGACCAUGUCAUCAACCAUGGGAUGACCCUGAGGGAAGCUGGCCAACGGGUUCAGCCUAAUUUGAGCCGCUACACUGUGGCAAGCAUCAUUAGGACAUUUCGAAAUGAGAAUCGAAUUGCUAGAUGUCCACAUGUUGGGGGCAGAGGAAGAAUGUUCACUCCAGAGCAAGAGACCCAUAUAGUGAACAUGGUGAUUGCCAAUAAUGCAAUAAGACUGCGCGAAAUACAGCAGCACAUAAUUGAUAAUGACACCAUCUUUCAACUAUACACAGUGUAAGCAUUUCUGCACUAAGUCGUGUACUUGCGCGCCACAGAAUAAGAAUGAAGCAAAUUUAGUUCCUUUCGAGAGAAACACAGAACGUGUAAAGCAGCUGCGAUAUGACUAUGUGCAGGUAAGCUAUAGUGUCAUUGGUUCUGAAUUUGGAAGUGCAUACUGUAGUGCUACGCAUGGGCCUGAUAUGUCAUCAUAUGGGACAAUGUUAGUUUCCAUAGGGCUGCUUUGGUCCGCAACUGGUUUACAGACCACCCAUUCUUCAUGGCACUCAACCUCCCUCCAUACUCUCCAUUCUUAAAUCCCAUCGAGGAGUUCUUCUCUGCCUGGCGCUGGAAAGUGUACGACCGUCAUCCUCAUCAACAGGUAGCCCUUUUACAGGCAAUGGAGGAGGCAUGUGGAGAUACUGACCAGGUAUCAUGUCAGGCCUGGAUACGGCAUUCAAGGAGAUAUUUUCCCCGGUGCCUUGGACUGGAGGAUAUCGCAUAUAUAGCAAUUUUCUUUUGUGAAAUUACAAUUUAGUGUUCUGACUUUGUCUUGGUUUUGAUGAGUGUGAAUAAACACCAAUACUGUUGUGGUGGCAGCCCGGC